GGGCACCACCAGGAGUGGAGCCGGCGGCUUAAUUUGACUCAACACGGGAAAACUCACCCGGCCCGGACACUAGGAGGAUUGACAGACUGACUAGCUCUUUCUUGAUUCAGUGGGGGGGGGUGCGUGGCCGUUCUUAGUUGGGGGAGCGAUUUGUCUGGUUAAUUCCGAUAACAAACGACACUCUAGCCUACUAGUUAGCCGGCCCGGUCGUUAUGCGCCCGGGCAGCGAGCUUCUUAGAGGGACAGACGGCGAGUAAGCCGUACGAGAUAGAGCAAUAACAGGUCUGUGAUGCCCUUAGAUGUCCGGGGCCGCACGCGCGCUACACUGAAGAGAUCAUCGUGCAUGUGCUUCCUACUCCGAAAGGAGCGGGAAACCGAGUGAACCUUUUUCGUGCUUGGGAUUGGGGAUUGUAAUUAUUCUCCAUGAACUAGGAAUUCCCACUAGGCACAAGUUAUCAGCUUGUGUUGAUUACGUCUCUGCACUUUGUACACACCGCCCGUCCCUACUACCUAUUGGAU
RNAcentral lists this ribosomal RNA (519 nucleotides) under uncultured eukaryote. RNAcentral describes it as "bacterial SSU rRNA". It matches the Rfam family "Eukaryotic small subunit ribosomal RNA", at positions 1162 to 1694 of the family's 1831-position model. The record is from RNAcentral.